GUUAUCAUGGAUAAGUUUUCAUAAAGUGUGUUGUAUGCUGGCAGUCUCAUAAACACCCACAUUGUGAGAAUAAGUCUGUGGUGAAAAAUAUUGUGUUCCAGUUUUCACCUGGUUAAAUGAUAUUUGAAAACACUAAGAAUUUUUUUAUCUCCCAUUUUCAACAGGUGAUGUUCUAUCAGGAUGGAGUCUGAUGUCUUGUCAGAUCAUGUAAUGUAGCUUCCAGAAUUGAGCCAGAGCCAGAGAAACAUCCUGGCAACUUGGAAGACCAAAUGAUUGGCAAGAAGGCUCAAGAAAUCCUACAGACAGAAGACACAUCUAGUAGAAGGCCACACAGCUCUUCUGUUCCGCCUAUUCAGUUUUUAAUAUUUUCCACACUUUUGUAUGUCUAAUUUUCUAAAUUCCAAUAUCAACCCAAACUCUGUUUUUAGGAAAAAAUGCAAAAAUUCAAAAUUAGGAUGAAAUUUAUGCCCAGAAACAACCAAAUUUUUUUGUUAACCAACAAUGUAGGAAUCACUACAAACUCAGUUUUUUCUUUUAGCAGUGAGAGACUUUAAACAGCA
Molecule: long non-coding RNA, 560 nt
Organism: Ochotona princeps (American pika)
Lineage: Eukaryota; Metazoa; Chordata; Mammalia; Lagomorpha; Ochotonidae
Exons: 3
Source: RefSeq, a predicted model, not a curated record